RNAcentral lists this ribosomal RNA (434 nucleotides) under uncultured Clostridium sp. Its description in RNAcentral is "partial 16S ribosomal RNA". It matches the Rfam family "Bacterial small subunit ribosomal RNA", at positions 341 to 792 of the family's 1533-position model. The record is from RNAcentral. Lineage: Bacteria; Bacillati; Bacillota; Clostridia; Eubacteriales; Clostridiaceae.
ACGGGAGGCAGCGGUGGGGAAUAUUGGACAAUGGGGGAAACCCUGAUCCAGCGACGCCGCGUGAGUGAAGAAGUAUUUCGGUAUGUAAGGCUCUAUCAGCAGGGAAGAUAAUGACGGUACCUGACUAAGAAGCACCGGCUAACUACGUGCCAGCAGCCGCGGUAAUACGUAGGGGGCAAGCGUUAUCCGGAUUUACUGGGUGUAAAGGGAGCGUAGACGGUAUGGCAAGUCUGAAGUGAAAUCCCGGGGCUCAACCCCGGAACUGCUGUGGAAACUGUUUAGCUAGAGUGCAGGAGAGGUAAGCGGAAUUCCUAGUGUAGCGGUGAAAUGCGUAGAUAUUAGGAGGAACACCAGUGGCGAAGGCGGCUUACUGGACUGUAACUGACGUUGAGGCUCGAAAGCGUGGGGAGCAAACAGGAUUAGAUACCCUGGUA